GUUGACAUGAAAGCAUGAAUGACAUAGAGGAAGAAGAAAUCAAGUCAAGACAUACAUCCGGAGUGAUCAAAGUAAGCUUGUCCGUACAAGUGUGAUCUAACUUGGCGUGCAAGGCAAGAGGAGACUUAUCUGUGAUCAAGAAGGAUGUUAUACUUGCCUUAAGAUAUUUAAAAGAUGUCGGCCAAGAGAAGGGAUCCGUUGAAGAAGAAGACAAGGUGGUUCAAAGGAGAGAGAGCCGUUUGGUGCUGUCGCUUUCCACCUUGGCUGUGCGCAACCUGCCCUUGAUCAGGCCUCUUUGUUUAUUCUUUUCUUCUAUGUCAACUUGCCAUUAGUUUAUUCAUUGUUGCAUCUAUUUAAAGUAUGUAAUCAGAACCAAAUGGAUCAAGGA
Molecule: long non-coding RNA, 388 nt
Filed under: Brassica napus (rape)
Lineage: Eukaryota; Viridiplantae; Streptophyta; Magnoliopsida; Brassicales; Brassicaceae
Description: long non-coding RNA (BNAP_LNC015221)
Source: RNAcentral